This 160-nucleotide small nuclear RNA is filed under the name Trichobilharzia regenti. Its description in RNAcentral is "U1 spliceosomal RNA". It matches the Rfam family "U1 spliceosomal RNA". Rfam says of the family: U1 is a small nuclear RNA (snRNA) component of the spliceosome (involved in pre-mRNA splicing). Its 5' end forms complementary base pairs with the 5' splice junction, thus defining the 5' donor site of an intron. Lineage: Eukaryota; Metazoa; Platyhelminthes; Trematoda; Strigeidida; Schistosomatidae. The record is from Rfam by way of RNAcentral.
CGACUCACCUGGCGCCGAGUUAAAGGUGAUCAAGAAUACUCUGACACCUGGUAGAGGCUCACCAUUGCACCUCGGUGGGUUGAAACCCGCGACGGAGCCUAAUCAGGUGCUCUCGGCCGUGUAGUUUUUGUUAGUGGGGAGGCCUCACUGUCCUUCCUUU